GACGAACGCUGGCAGCGUGCUUAACACAUGCAAGUCGAGCGGUAAGGCCCUUUCGGGGGUACACGAGCGGCGAACGGGUGAGUAACACGUGGGUGACCUGCCCUCAGCUCUGGGAUAAGCCUGGGAAACCGGGUCUAAUACCGGAUAUGACUCCAUGACGCAUGUUGUGGGGUGGAAAGCCUUGUGCGGCUGAGGAUGGGGCCCGCGGCCUAUCAGCUUGUUGGUGGGGUGAGGCCUACCAAGGCGACGACGGGUAGCCGGCCUGAGAGGGCGACCGGCCACACUGGGACUGAGACACGGCCCAGACUCCUACGGGAGGCAGCAGUGGGGAAUCUUGCGCAAUGGGCGAAAGCCUGACGCAGCGACGCCGCGUGAGGGAUGACCGGCCU
This 389-nucleotide ribosomal RNA is filed under the name uncultured bacterium. Its description in RNAcentral is "bacterial SSU rRNA". It matches the Rfam family "Bacterial small subunit ribosomal RNA", at positions 28 to 418 of the family's 1533-position model. The record is from RNAcentral.